ACCGGCAGCUCAAGUGGUGGCCAUUAUUAUUGGGUCUAAAGGGUCCGUAGCCAGUUUGAUAAGUCUCUGGGGAAAUCCCGCAGUUCAACUGUGGGACUUGCUGGAGAUACUAUCAGACUUGAGGUCGGGAGAGGUUAGGGGUACUCCAAGGGUAGGGGUGAAAUCCUAUAAUCCUGGGAGGACCACCUGUGGCGAAGGCGCCUAACUGGAACGAACCUGACGGUAAGUAACGAAAGCCAGGGGCGCGAACCG
This 252-nucleotide ribosomal RNA is filed under the name uncultured prokaryote. RNAcentral's name for it is "partial 16S rRNA". It matches the Rfam family "Archaeal small subunit ribosomal RNA", at positions 475 to 726 of the family's 1478-position model. The record is from RNAcentral.